GACGAACGCUGGCGGCGUGCUUAACACAUGCAAGUCGAACGGAAAGGCCCUGCUUUUGUGGGGUGCUCGAGUGGCGAACGGGUGAGUAACACGUGAGUAACCUGCCCUUGACUUUGGGAUAAAUUCAGGAAACUGGGGCUAAUACCGGAUAGGAGCUCCUGCUGCAUGGUGGGGGUUGGAAAGUUUCGGCGGUUGGGGAUGGACUCGCGGCUUAUCAGCUUGUUGGUGGGGUAGUGGCUUACCAAGGCUUUGACGGGUAGCCGGCCUGAGAGGGUGACCGGCCACAUUGGGACUGAGAUACGGCCCAGACUCCUACGGGAGGCAGCAGUGGGGAAUAUUGCACAAUGGGCGGAAGCCUGAUGCAGCAACGCCGCGUGCGUGAUGACGGCCUUCGGGUUGUAAACCGCUUUCGCCUGUGACGAAGCGUGAGUGACGGUAAUGGGUAAAGAAGCACCGGCUAACUACGUG
RNAcentral lists this ribosomal RNA (468 nucleotides) under uncultured bacterium. RNAcentral describes it as "partial 16S ribosomal RNA". It matches the Rfam family "Bacterial small subunit ribosomal RNA", at positions 28 to 507 of the family's 1533-position model. The record is from RNAcentral.